RNAcentral lists this ribosomal RNA (149 nucleotides) under Paracoccaceae bacterium. RNAcentral describes it as "Rhodobacteraceae bacterium (activated sludge metagenome) partial 16S ribosomal RNA". It matches the Rfam family "Bacterial small subunit ribosomal RNA", at positions 1 to 163 of the family's 1533-position model. The record is from RNAcentral. Lineage: Bacteria; Pseudomonadati; Pseudomonadota; Alphaproteobacteria; Rhodobacterales; Paracoccaceae.
CAACUUGAGAGUUUGAUCCUGGCUCAGAACGAACGCUGGCAGCAGGUUUAACACAUGUACGUCGAGCGCCCCGCAAGGGGAGCGGCAGACGGGUGAGUAACGCGUGGGAACCUACCCAUCGCUAGGGAAUAACUCAGGGAAAGUUGUGC